RNAcentral lists this ribosomal RNA (468 nucleotides) under uncultured bacterium. RNAcentral describes it as "partial 16S ribosomal RNA". It matches the Rfam family "Bacterial small subunit ribosomal RNA", at positions 28 to 507 of the family's 1533-position model. The record is from RNAcentral.
GACGAACGCUGGCGGCGUGCUUAACACAUGCAAGUCGAACGGAAAGGCCCUGCUUUUGUGGGGUGCUCGAGUGGCGAACGGGUGAGUAACACGUGAGUAACCUGCCCUUGACUUUGGGAUAACUUCAGGAAACUGGGGCUAAUACCGGAUAGGAGCUCCUGCUGCAUGGUGGGGGUUGGAAAGUUUCGGCGGUUGGGGAUGGACUCGCGGCUUAUCAGCUUGUUGGUGGGGUAGUGGCUUACCAAGGCUUUGACGGGUAGCCGGCCUGAGAGGGUGACCGGCCACAUUGGGACUGAGAUACGGCCCAGACUCCUACGGGAGGCAGCAGUGGGGAAUAUUGCACAAUGGGCGGAAGCCUGAUGCAGCAACUCCGCGUGCGGGAUGACGGCCUUCGGGUUGUAAACCGCUUGCGCCUGUGACGAAGCGUGAGUGACGGUAAUGGGUAAAGAAGCACCGGCUAACUACGUG